RNAcentral lists this transfer RNA (69 nucleotides) under Echinoecus nipponicus. RNAcentral describes it as "tRNA-Lys". Lineage: Eukaryota; Metazoa; Arthropoda; Malacostraca; Decapoda; Pilumnidae. The record is from RNAcentral.
CACUCGAUGACUGAAAAUAAGUGUAGGUCUUUUAAACCUAUUAUAGUAUAACCUACUUCUGGUGCUUAU